UACGGAGGGUGCGAGCGUUGUCCGGAAUCACUGGGCGUAAAGGGCGCGUAGGCGGCCUGAUAAGUAGGGGGUGAAAUCCUGCGGCUUAACCGCAGGGCUGCCUUCUAAACUGUCAGGCUAGAGCACAGUAGAGGCAGGUGGAAUUCCCGGUGUAGCGGUGGAAUGCGUAGAGAUCGGGAAGAACACCGGUGGCGAAGGCGGCCUGCUGGGCAGUGGCUGACGCUGAGGCGCGACAGCGUGGGGAGCAAACAGG
Molecule: ribosomal RNA, 253 nt
Filed under: uncultured bacterium
Lineage: Bacteria
Description: partial 16S ribosomal RNA
Rfam family: Bacterial small subunit ribosomal RNA
Source: RNAcentral